AGCACAGAGGAGCUUGCUCCUUGGGUGGCGAGUGGCGGACGGGUGAGGAAUACGUCGGAAUCUGCCUAUUUGUGGGGGAUAACGUAGGGAAACUUACGCUAAUACCGCAUACGACCUACGGGUGAAAGUGGGGGACCGCAAGGCCUCACGCAGAUAGAUGAGCCGACGUCGGAUUAGCUAGUUGGCGGGAUAAAGGCCCACCAAGGCGACGAUCCGUAGCUGGUCUGAGAGGAUGAUCAGCCACACUGGAACUGAGACACGGUCCAGACUCCUACGGGAGGCAGCAGUGGGGAAUAUU
Molecule: ribosomal RNA, 298 nt
Filed under: bacterium enrichment culture DGGE band 3(2011)
Lineage: Bacteria
Description: partial 16S ribosomal RNA
Rfam family: Bacterial small subunit ribosomal RNA
Source: RNAcentral